Small nuclear RNA from Pygocentrus nattereri (red-bellied piranha), 109 nucleotides. Its record names the gene U5. It matches the Rfam family "U5 spliceosomal RNA". Rfam says of the family: U5 RNA is a component of both types of known spliceosome. The precise function of this molecule is unknown, though it is known that the 5' loop is required for splice site selection and p220 binding, and that both the 3' stem-loop and the Sm site are important for Sm protein binding and cap methylation. The record is from Ensembl. NCBI's taxonomy places the organism in Eukaryota, Metazoa, Chordata, Actinopteri, Characiformes, Serrasalmidae.
UAGCUCGGGUUUCUAUUCAUUCAUGCACAAAUCUUUCGCCUUUUACUAAAGAUUUCCAUGGAGGGGAACGUUGACGAGUUUUUUUUGAAGGCUCUGCCACAGCAGAGUU